AUUGAACGCUGGCGGCAGGCCUAACACAUGCAAGUCGAGCGGAUGAAGGGAGCUUGCUCCUGUAUUCAGCGGCGGACGGGUGAGUAAUGCCUAGGAAUCUGCCUGGUAUUUGGGGAUAACGUCCGGAAACGGGCGCUAAUACCGCAUACGUCCUGAUGGUGAACGUGGUGGAUCUUCGGACCUCACGCUAUCAGCUGAGCCUAGGUCGGAUUACCUCGUUGGUGGGGGAAAGGCCUACCCAGGCGACGAUCCGUAACUGGUCUGCGAGGAUGAUCAGUCACACUGGAACUGGGAAACGGUCCAGGCUCCCAAGGGAGGGAGCAGUGGGGAAAAUUGGAGAAAGGGGGGAAGGCUGGACGAGCCAUGCCGGGGGGGGGAAGAAGGUCUUCGGGUUGUAAAGCACCUUAAGUUGGGAGGAAGGGCAGGAAGUUAAAACCUUGCUGUUUUGACGGGACCAUAAGAAGAAGCACAGGCUAACUUAGUG
This 484-nucleotide ribosomal RNA is filed under the name uncultured bacterium. RNAcentral describes it as "partial 16S ribosomal RNA". It matches the Rfam family "Bacterial small subunit ribosomal RNA", at positions 29 to 507 of the family's 1533-position model. The record is from RNAcentral.